This 1426-nucleotide ribosomal RNA is filed under the name Metallus mai. Its description in RNAcentral is "16S ribosomal RNA". Lineage: Eukaryota; Metazoa; Arthropoda; Insecta; Hymenoptera; Tenthredinidae. The record is from RNAcentral.
AAUUUAAAAAUUAUUGAUUUAAAUUACAUAUUAGUGAAUUAAUUUUUUUGUUUAUUUUAAAUUUUAUUAAUAAAAAUAAUUUUAAUUUAAGUUGGUUUAAGUAAUUUUUAAAGAAAAAAUUAGUUUAAAUUAUAGUUAAUUAGUAAAGUAGAAGAAUUUUGAAAAAUUAUAAUGAAAAUUUAAAUUUUUAAAAAGUUAACCUUAUUUGUUGUACCUUGUGUAUCAGGGUUUAUUAAUUAAAAAAUAAUUUUUUUAUUUUUCUCGAAUUUAAAAGAUUUAUUUUAAUUUAUAUAAUUUUUAUUGUGUAAUAAAUAUUUUUAAUAUUAAAAUAGAAAUGAAAUGUUAUUCGUUUUUAAUGUUAUCUAGUUUUUUAAUAAAUGAAUUUAAUUCAGAUAUUAUAUUUAAAAUUUAAAAUUAAUUUUUUUUUUGUUAUUUUUUAUAAUAUUAAUAAUUUAAGGGAUAAGCUUUAUAAUUAAAAUUUUAUAAUUUUAUAUGUAAAUUUUUAAUAUUAUUUUUAUAGUCUUAGAGAUAGGUUUUAUUUUAAAAAUGUUAUAAUUUAAAUAAUUUAAUUUAAUAAUAAAAUUUUUAAUAAAAAUUUAAAUUUUUAUUAAAAUUUUUUAAAUAAUUAUGUUUUAAAAGAAAUAAUGAUAAAAUUAGUAAAUUUUUUAAUUGUAAAUUUAAUUUAAAUUUAUUAUUUAUUAAAUUAAUAAAUAAUUUUGAAGGUUAAUUUAAAUAAUUCGGCAAAUAUUAUAUUCACCUGUUUAACAAAAACAUGUCUUUUUGAUUAAUAAUUUAAAGUCAAAUCUGCUCUAUGAAUUUUUAAUUUAAAUGGCCGCAGUAUCCUGACUGUGCAAAGGUAGCAUAAUAAUUAGUCUCUUAAUUAGGGGCUGGAAUGAAUGAUUUAAUGAAAUAUAAUCUGUUUCAAUUUAAUUAAAAAUUAAAUUUAAUUUUUAAGUUAAAAAGCUUAAAUUUUUUUAAAGGACGAGAAGACCCUAUAGAGUUUUAUAAUUUUUUUAAUUAUUGAAUUUUAAUUUUAUUUAAUAGUUAAAAAAUUAUUUUGUUGGGGUGAUAAAAAAAUUUAAGUAACUUUUUUUUUAUUUUAACAUUAAUUAAUGAAAAAUUUUUGAUCCUUAUUUUAAGAUUAUAAGUUUAAAUUACCUUAGGGAUAACAGCGUUAUUUUUUUUAAAGUUCAUAUUUAUAAAAGAGAUUGCGACCUCGAUGUUGGAUUAAAAUUUAAUUUAGGUGAAGAAGCUUAACGUUUAGGUCUGUUCGACCUUUAAAAUUUUACAUGAUCUGAGUUCAAACCGGUGUAAGCCAGGUUGGUUUCUAUCCUUAAAAUAAAAAAAAUUUUUAGUACGAAAGGACCAAGAUUUUGAAAUAUGUUUUUAUUAAAGUUUAAAAGAAUUAUAUUAAUUAUUUAAAGUA